UACAGAGGGGGCAAGCGUUGUUCGGAAUUACUGGGCGUAAAGUGUGCGCAGGCGGCCGAGCAAGUCGAGUGUGAAAUCCCCGAGCUUAACUUGGGAAUUGCGCUCGAAACUACUUGGCUGGAGUGUGGCAGAGGAAGGUGGAAUUCCACGUGUAGCGGUGAAAUGCGUAGAGAUGUGGAGGAACACCGAUGGCGAAGGCAGCCUUCUGGGCCAACACUGACGCUCAUGCACGAAAGCGUGGGGAGCAAACAGG
RNAcentral lists this ribosomal RNA (253 nucleotides) under uncultured bacterium. RNAcentral's name for it is "partial 16S ribosomal RNA". It matches the Rfam family "Bacterial small subunit ribosomal RNA", at positions 524 to 776 of the family's 1533-position model. The record is from RNAcentral.